This 75-nucleotide transfer RNA is filed under the name Nanobdellota archaeon. RNAcentral's name for it is "tRNA-Cys". It matches the Rfam family "tRNA". Rfam says of the family: Transfer RNA (tRNA) molecules are approximately 80 nucleotides in length. Lineage: Archaea; Nanobdellati; Nanobdellota. The record is from RNAcentral.
GCGCCCGUCACCAAGCGGCUAAGGUAAUCGCCUGCAGAGCGAUCAUUCGAGGGUUCGAGUGUCCCUCCGGGCGCU